This 468-nucleotide ribosomal RNA is filed under the name uncultured bacterium. Its description in RNAcentral is "partial 16S ribosomal RNA". It matches the Rfam family "Bacterial small subunit ribosomal RNA", at positions 28 to 507 of the family's 1533-position model. The record is from RNAcentral.
GACGAACGCUGGCGGCGUGCUUAACACAUGCAAGUCGAACGGAAAGGCCCUGCUUUUGUGGGGUGCUCGAGUGGCGAACGGGUGAGUAACACGUGAGUAACCUGCCCUUGACUUUGGGAUAACUUCAGGAAACUGGGGCUAAUACCGGAUAGGAGCUCCUGCUGCAUGGUGGGGGUUGGAAAGUUUCGGCGGUUGGGGAUGGUCUCGCGGCUUUUCAGCUUGUUGGUGGGGUAGUGGCUUACCAAGGCUUUGACGGGUAGCCGGCCUGAGAGGGUGACCGGCCAGAAUGGGAAUGAGAGACGGCACAGAAUCGAAGGGGAGGAAGCAGGGGGGAAUAUUGCAGAAUGGGAGGAAGCGUGAUGCAGAAACGCCGCGUGCGGGAUGACGGGCUUCGGGUUGUAAACCGCUUUCGACUGUGACGAAGAGUGAGUGACGGUAAUGGGUAAAGAAGGACCGGCUAACUACGUG